Molecule: long non-coding RNA, 2961 nt
Filed under: Macaca mulatta (Rhesus monkey)
Lineage: Eukaryota; Metazoa; Chordata; Mammalia; Primates; Cercopithecidae
Description: lncRNA (ENSMMUG00000050149.1)
Source: RNAcentral
UUCCUUUGUCAAUCUUUGAGCCUGUCCCACAUGUCCUCCUCACUAUGGCUUCCUAAGGAGCCUCCUCUCUGUUCCCACCUCUCAGGGGGCUGACUCCUACUCACACUCUGGUCUCAGCCUCCUUUCUGGCCCCUGGCAUGAGGUUCUUCGUUCCGCCUCGGCCUCCCAAAGUGCUGGGAUUACAGGCAUAAGCCACCGCACCUGUCUUAUUUCUCAGUGAUCUCAAUGCUCCUCAGACUCCCCCUGCAUAACACUUAGCAGCAGAACCAUACGAACUUGAAACUAUUCCAUUAUUUUUGAUCUACAAACACAAAACAUUAUUUACCUCAGUAACAGUUGCCUGGCUAAAGCUGUGAGGGUGGGAGGACCCCGUGAUCUGGACGUUUGCACACAUCAUGCUUCCAGCCCGGGACUGAAGAUACGUGUGGACCACAUCAGGGACUGGCCUGCUAACUAUGAGCUCUCACGCAAUGUCUGUCAGGGGCUGGAGAAUCGGGGAGGCCUCCCCCCAGAAAUCAGGGGAAGCUGCAUCUCCCUCUUCAAUUUCCUUUCCCCUGGCCACCUGGCUCCAAAAUAAAUCUAAUAAACUAACUCACAGCAAGGUGUCAAAGCCCCAGAUGCCUAAAUGAAAGAAGCUGGCAGUCUGAGGCAUCUGCAUUUGAAAAGAGAUUCAAUGAGAACUUAAGAUAAAAGCCAGCCCUAGACCAAAAGAAAGGGAAGAGAGGGCAGGGAGGGCUUCCAGCAGCCCCUGCAAAUCACACCUUUCUAGAAGCCAGGACCACAAGCACCCUUCCCUAUGAACUGCCUCAUUUAGCUUCAUAGCUCUAAUGGGCCAAAACCCCCACGGAGUAGAUGUGGCAACUAAGGUCUGUCAAGUACAAUGGUGAGGAGACGAAAAUAACAAAAGUGAGCUUUGCAGGGGUCAGCGCUGUAACAUAGGAUUUGCUCUGACUGGGGGUUCACUCCCUCACAGAGACACAGACCUUUGUUCUAGGUGGGGCUGCGGGAAGGGGACCUGCAGACAGGUGUGCCAGUGGCACAGGGCCUGGGAGUAUGGAAGGAGGCAGCACUGGGAUCGCGAGGGCCCCCAGCCUUAGGACAAGAGAGGUGUGGGGUCUAGACAACCAACCUAGGGCGCAGGUGCCACAGUGAGCCACUGAGAUGCCUGUAAACCUGGGACAGGAGCUAGGAGGGUAUUCCCAAGAAAGAGAGCUCACAGUCAGCCAGCACAUUCCUAAGAGCUGGAAGGAAGGAUGGUGGGAGCUGUCAGAGCAGAGAGAUGAGCAGGGGAAGGUGGUCAAGGAAAAAGAAAACAGGGAAGGGCUGGGCAUGGUGGCUCACGCCUGUAAUCCCAACAUUUGGGAGGCCAAAGCAGGAGGAUUGAUUGAACCCAGGAGUUUGAGGUUGCAGUGAGCUCUGAUCGCACCACUGCUCUCCAGCCUGGGCAACAGAGCAAGACUCUGUCUCUAAAAAAAAAAAAAAGGACAGGCACAGUGGCUCAGCACUUUGGGAGGCCGAGACGGGCGGAUCACAAGGUCAGGAGAUCGAGACCAUCCUGGCUAAAACGGUGAAACCCUGUCUCUACUAAAAAUACGAAAAAUUAGGCCGGGCGCAGUGGCUCAAGUCUGUAAUCCCAGCGCUGUGGGAGGCCGAGAUGGGCGGAUCACGAGGUCAGGAGAUCGAGACCAUCCUGGCUAACAUGGUGAAACCCCGUCUCUACUAAAAAAAUACAAAAAACUAAGCGGGCUCCUGUAGUCCCAGCUACUCCGGAGGCUGAGGCAGCGUAAACCCGGGAGACGGAGCUUGCAGUGAGCUGAGAUCCGGCCACUGCACUCCACCCCGGGCGACAGAGCGAGACUCCUAUCUCAAAAAAAAAAAAAAAAGAGUUCGAGACCAGCCUGACCAAUAGGAUAAAACCCCGUUUCUACCAAAAAUAUAAAAGUUAGCUGGUCAUGGUGGCGUGCACUUGUAAUCUCAGCUACUCGGGAAGCUGAGGCACGAGAAUCACUUGAAUCCAGGAGGCAGAGGGUGCAGUGAGCCAAGAUGCUGCCACUGCACUCCAGCCUGGGCAACAGUGCAAGACUUUGUUCCAAAAAUAAAUGAAAACAUAAAAAAAAAUAAAGAAAACAGAAGGACACAACACAUAGGAUAACAAAGUUCAAAAAAUUCAUGUGAUAAAGGAGACUGAUGAUUCAUGAAACAAGAGGAAAGCCUUUGAACUUGAAGCCAGUCAAGAACAUCAUUUGCAGGGGGCAGGAAUUGGUACACUGGACCCACAGAUGAGGAAAUCUAAUUUAUACACACUGCCUGGCUCUGUAGAUAGAAAUACUGACAUGUGAACUAUGGUUACAGAACAGAACGUAAUUCUGUCAGCCACACAAUGUAAAAAUGAAGGCAUAUCCUACUUCUGGGUACAUACACAAAAGAAAUGAAAAUUGGGCCGGGCAUGGUGGCUCACACCUGUAAUCCCAGCACUUUGGCGGGGGGGGCGCCGAGGCGGGCGAAUCACGAGGUCAGGAGCUCAAGACCAUCCUGGCCAGCAUGGUGAAACCCAUCUCUACUAAAAUUACAAAAAUUAGCUAGGUGUGGUGGCGAGCGCCUGUAGUCCCAGCUACUCAGGAAGCUGAGGCAGGAGAAUCACUUGAACCCAGGAAGCAGAGGUUGCAGUGAGCCAAGAUCACUGCACUCUAGCCUGGUGAUAGAGUGAGACUCUGUCUCAAAAACAAACCAACAAACAAAAAAUACAAAAAAUUAGCCGGGUGUGCUGGCAUGUGCCUGUAGUCCCAGUUACCCCGGAGGCUGAGGCAGGGAGAACUGCUUGAACCCAGGAGGCCGAGGCUACAAUGGCUGAGAUGCAGUCACUGUACUUGGCGAGACUCCAUCUCAAAAAAAAAAAAAAGAAGAAGAAGAAGAAGAAGAAAAGGCCGGGCCACAGUGGCUCACACCGGUAAUCCCAGCACU